Molecule: long non-coding RNA, 654 nt
Filed under: Volvox carteri
Lineage: Eukaryota; Viridiplantae; Chlorophyta; Chlorophyceae; Chlamydomonadales; Volvocaceae
Description: long non-coding RNA (VCAR_LNC004059)
Source: RNAcentral
GCCGACCUUCCCCCACACGCUCGGGUCCGCGUCCGCGCCUGUGCGUGCCCAUAAAUAUUGCGUUAGGAGGAGGAAGUAACGUCAUCCACCAUGGAACCAAGGCAACGUAGGUUGAGGUAAGAUUACCGAGGCGGCACCUCUGCUGCAUGCCCCACUGCAUGCUCGACCGUAUGCCCCGCAUGCCACCCAUACGAGAUUGCCGCCAUCAUACAUCUGCUCCAUUGAAAGCAACUAUAUGAUAACUAUGUAAGGAAUAUGAACUAUACCGAGCCCUAGUAUUUUUAGAGCUGGGAAACAGGCUGUGGACCCGGUUGAGGAUAGAUUCGUUGUCCGUCAGAAAAUAGAGUUAAGUUGUAUUGAUUACAAGAAUGCAAAAUGCAGUUGGUGUGAAGCAAAUGAGGCGCUGGUUAUCAAAUACCCCCGCAGUAAGUGCUCCUGUAGUACUACCUGAAUGCCUGAUCUUUAGAUGCUCUAGCGGUUCAUCAUCUACGAUUGAAAACAUCAAAGGAUCGAAGGUCCGACUUCCGAGCUUUGGACCUUCUGUUGAAAUUUCAGGAAAAGAGAACGCGCUGUUCGUUGGCAGUUGGUUGCACUUGCACCUAUACUUUAUGACUAUAAUUAUCACCUUUACGCGGUAGCAGCUGUAGAUGUUUG